RNAcentral lists this ribosomal RNA (241 nucleotides) under Candidatus Bartonella khokhlovae. RNAcentral describes it as "partial 16S ribosomal RNA". It matches the Rfam family "Bacterial small subunit ribosomal RNA", at positions 1027 to 1268 of the family's 1533-position model. Lineage: Bacteria; Pseudomonadati; Pseudomonadota; Alphaproteobacteria; Hyphomicrobiales; Bartonellaceae. The record is from RNAcentral.
AUCGGAGACAGGUGCUGCAUGGCUGUCGUCAGCUCGUGUCGUGAGAUGUUGGGUUAAGUCCCGCAACGAGCGCAACCCUCGCCCUUAGUUGCCAGCAUUUAGUUGGGCACUCUAGGGGGACUGCCGGUGAUAAGCCGAGAGGAAGGUGGGGAUGACGUCAAGUCCUCAUGGCCCUUACGGGCUGGGCUACACACGUGCUACAAUGGUGGUGACAGUGGGCAGCGAGACCGCGAGGUCGAGC